AUGGCAGCAGCUGCAGUGCAGGGUUGGGGUUUUUUAUUAUUUUUUUAUUUCAGGAGCAUCUCGCUGUACGGCAAGGUCACGGAAAGCACAGCAAGUACAGCGAUAGAUGCUGGGAGCUCAAUGGACCCGCCAAAGGCCAGGAGAGAAGGAAACCGAGCGAAUGAAACUAAGAAAGGAGGAGAGAACGGCUUACUGGGGGUCGCAUUCAGCCGGAGCAGCGGGACGGUGAAUGGAUGGGCGCCUGUCGAGAUGGAGGGGCUGUCGAUUAGAUUUCUCACAGCUCAGCGCCAGGUUUAAGCAGCGAGGCUUCUCCCAUCGUUCGCCAAGAAAACCCCUGAUGUGAGUGGAAAUCUACAAAUUUACUGCUACUGUUUGGAGUUGGGAACAAAACUUUGGUUUGUGUUCUGUGUUUUGUAGGUGAAACUUUUAGGGGUUAAAGGUCAGAGCUUUGCUUAUUGAAAAUACAGUUUAUGAAAAAACUAAUUUUCAAACAAAGAUUUGUAAGGCUUACAAUUUGUGCUUUUCUAGUUAAAUAUUAUAUAAUUUCUUUACCUUUUAAUUCAUUUUAAUUCAAAAUUAAAAGUAAUUCCUUCAAUUGAGGAACUUAUUCAAGGUUUUAUUUUUUUUCUACAAUAAAUACAAUACAUUUUCAUAAAUUGUAUUUUCAAUAUGUAUUUAUGUCUUUCUGCACCUGUAGAUUUCUCACUUGUUUACACUUACAAACAAUACAAAAUAAACUUUUAUUAGAUAUACAAUCUGAAAAAUCAUUUGAAACAUUUGAAGCCUAUAAAUCUUCAAACUUUAAUGCCUUUUAAGUUGUUUUUUUCAAGUAUUUAUAAAGACAACAUUUAAAUUUGGCCGAUUUUGUUGUUCUAGUAAAAACUGUUGUUAUUAUAAUUAUAAUAAUGGUUACCUUUUUUCAUUCUGCUUUUUGCACUCACUUAUGUUCUCUACCUAAAAUGUAAAAAUGUUAAUGUGUUUCAAUAAAUUGCAUUUUAAAUUAAUUUGGUUUUACUACACCUGCAGUUAUACACUUCUACAAGAAAAUACUCAUACCUGUAUCAAAUGUAGAAUCAUUGAAAAAUCAUUUAGAAAGUUUGAAACAUUAAAACUUUCAAACUUUAAGGCCUUUUAAGCUUUAACUUUCAAAAGACGCUUUGUAAAGCCAACAAAUCUUGAUCUCAAAUCUUGAUGAAUCUUUAAAUGUUUUUAUUUUGAAAGUUUGAGGCCUUUAAACCUUUUUAGAUACAAAAAAUCCAAAAAGCAUGACGCUUGCAACUCCAAGGUCAUGGGUUCGAUUCCCAGGGAGUGCAUGAACUGAU
RNAcentral lists this long non-coding RNA (1322 nucleotides) under Carassius auratus (goldfish). RNAcentral's name for it is "lncRNA (ENSCARG00000035935.1)". Lineage: Eukaryota; Metazoa; Chordata; Actinopteri; Cypriniformes; Cyprinidae. The record is from RNAcentral.